AACGAACGCUGGCGGCGUGGCUAAGACAUGCAAGUCGAACGGACUGGUCAAUUUAUUGGACAGUUAGUGGCGAAAGGGUUAGUAACGGAUGGGUAACGUACCCUGUGCUUUGGGAUAGCGUCAUCCCGACUUCGGUCGGGAUUUCCGAAAGGGGCGGUAAUACCAAAAAUAUCAUUUGUCUAUAGGCGGAUGAUCAAAGAUUUAUCGGCAUAGGCGCGGCCUGUUUCCUAUCAGCUUGUUGGUGGGGUAAUGGCUCACCAAGGCAACGACGGGUAGCGGGACUGAGAGGUUGGCCCGCAACAUCGGGACUGAGACACUGCCCGGACCUCCACGGAGGGCUGCAGUAACGAAUAUUGUGCAAUGGGCGAAAGCCUGACACAGCGACGCCGCGUGUAGGAGGAAGUCCUUCGGGAUGUAAACUACUGUCAGGGGUAAGAAAAGUGCGCUUCGGCGCAUUGAUCUAACCCAGAGGAAGUCACGGCUAACUUCGUGCCAGCAGCCGCGGUAAGACGAAGGUGGCAAGCGUUGUUCGGUAUCACUGGGCUUAAAGCGUGUGUAGGCGGAAAAGUAAGCGCUUCGUGAAAUCCCCCGGCUUAACCGGGGAACUGCGCAACGAACUGCUUUUCUUGAGGCAAGUAGGGGUGCAUGGAACUCUUGGUGGAGCGGUGGAAUGCGUAGAUAUCAAGAGGAACGCCAGUGGAGAAAUCGGUGCACUGGGCUUGUCCUGACGCUGAGACACGAAAGCGUGGGUAGCGAACGGGAUUAGAUACCCCGGUAGUCCACGCCGUAAACGAUGCCUACUAGGUUGUGAAAGUUCUGACACUGGCACAGCCGAAGCAAAAGUGUUAAGUAGGCCGCCUGGGGAGACGGUCGCAAGGCU
This 880-nucleotide ribosomal RNA is filed under the name uncultured Planctomycetota bacterium. RNAcentral's name for it is "bacterial SSU rRNA". It matches the Rfam family "Bacterial small subunit ribosomal RNA", at positions 28 to 895 of the family's 1533-position model. Lineage: Bacteria; Pseudomonadati; Planctomycetota. The record is from RNAcentral.